RNAcentral lists this long non-coding RNA (338 nucleotides) under Eucalyptus grandis. Its description in RNAcentral is "long non-coding RNA (EGRA_LNC000646)". The record is from RNAcentral. Lineage: Eukaryota; Viridiplantae; Streptophyta; Magnoliopsida; Myrtales; Myrtaceae.
CGACGACAGCGAAGACGGCGGCGACGGCGGAGAUGACUGGACUAUGCAGAGGGAGAUGGCGACGGCGACGGGGACAGCGCGAUACCUACUCGGUGACGACGCAACGAGGGCAAAGACGACGACGGCGAGACCCACGCGAAUUCCUUCCCCUCCUGCGUCUCUCUCUCUCCGUGCCUAUCUCUCUCUCUCUACUCUCCCUCCGGCGAGGCUCAGAUCUAAGGCCGCGAGCCCUCGGCCCCCCUGAAGUCUCUCAGUGGGGUGUCCAAGGGCUGCGACUCGAUCUAGCUCCCUCUGCGGCCGCGAGCCUUCGGAUCUGGGUUUGCUCGGCCUCGGCUCCC